CCCGGCCUCUCCCGCGCGUGCGGAUCAUUUCCGUAGGUGAACCUGCGGAAGGAUCAUUACCGAGUGUAGGGUUCCUAGCGAGCCCAACCUCCCACCCGUGUUUACUGUACCUUAGUUGCUUCGGCGGGCCCGCCAUUCAUGGCCGCCGGGGGCUCUCAGCCCCGGGCCCGCGCCCGCCGGAGACACCACGAACUCUGUCUGAUCUAGUGAAGUCUGAGUUGAUUGUAUCGCAAUCAGUUAAAACUUUCAACAAUGGAUCUCUUGGUUCCGGCAUCGAUGAAGAACGCAGCGAAAUGCGAUAACUAGUGUGAAUUGCAGAAUUCCGUGAAUCAUCGAGUCUUUGAACGCACAUUGCGCCCCCUGGUAUUCCGGGGGGCAUGCCUGUCCGAGCGUCAUUGCUGCCCAUCAAGCACGGCUUGUGUGUUGGGUCGUCGUCCCCUCUCCGGGGGGGACGGGCCCCAAAGGCAGCGGCGGCACCGCGUCCGAUCCUCGAGCGUAUGGGGCUUUGUCACCCGCUCUGUAGGCCCGGCCGGCGCUUGCCGAACGCAAAUCAAUCUUUUUCCAGGUUGACCUCGGAUCAGGUAGGGAUACCCGCUGAACUUAAGCAUAUCAAUAAGCGGAGGACUCUGUAGGCC
Molecule: ribosomal RNA, 635 nt
Filed under: Aspergillus flavus
Lineage: Eukaryota; Fungi; Ascomycota; Eurotiomycetes; Eurotiales; Aspergillaceae
Description: eukaryotic LSU rRNA
Rfam family: 5.8S ribosomal RNA (bases 242-395)
Source: RNAcentral